This 571-nucleotide ribosomal RNA is filed under the name Cladosporium sp. 10_1_M13F_A1J. RNAcentral describes it as "eukaryotic LSU rRNA". The stretch from base 196 to 349 matches the Rfam family "5.8S ribosomal RNA". The record is from RNAcentral. Lineage: Eukaryota; Fungi; Ascomycota; Dothideomycetes; Cladosporiales; Cladosporiaceae.
GGGAUCGCCCUUUCCGUAGUGAACCUGCGGAGGGAUCAUUACAAGUGACCCCGGCUACGGCCGGGAUGUUCAUAACCCUUUGUUGUCCGACUCUGUUGCCUCCGGGGCGACCCUGCCUUCGGGCGGGGGCUCCGGGUGGACACUUCAAACUCUUGCGUAACUUUGCAGUCUGAGUAAACUUAAUUAAUAAAUUAAAACUUUUAACAACGGAUCUCUUGGUUCUGGCAUCGAUGAAGAACGCAGCGAAAUGCGAUAAGUAAUGUGAAUUGCAGAAUUCAGUGAAUCAUCGAAUCUUUGAACGCACAUUGCGCCCCCUGGUAUUCCGGGGGGCAUGCCUGUUCGAGCGUCAUUUCACCACUCAAGCCUCGCUUGGUAUUGGGCAACGCGGUCCGCCGCGUGCCUCAAAUCGUCCGGCUGGGUCUUCUGUCCCCUAAGCGUUGUGGAAACUAUUCGCUAAAGGGUGUUCGGGAGGCUACGCCGUAAAACAACCCCAUUUCUAAGGUUGACCUCGGAUCAGGUAGGGAUACCCGCUGAACUUAAGCAUAUCAAUAAGCGGAGGAAAGGGCGAUCC